RNAcentral lists this long non-coding RNA (443 nucleotides) under Hordeum vulgare. RNAcentral's name for it is "long non-coding RNA (HVUL_LNC017080)". The record is from RNAcentral. Lineage: Eukaryota; Viridiplantae; Streptophyta; Magnoliopsida; Poales; Poaceae.
UUUGUGAAAGUACAGGUACCGAGCUGUCUUUCAUAAGUGCAUAAUUAACUAUACAUAGGAUUAGUCGCCGAGCCGUCCGUCAUUCCAGUGUUCCAGACUUCAAUUUAAUUGCCGCACUGCUGCCUCGGCUCCUCAUAUGCUUCAGUGCUUACAGCUUGCCAUUCUUCAGAGUAGUCAAGUGAGUGCACUGUGCACGGCCACACUGGUACGAGGAAGCGGGCACAAGGGUCAAGGGACAAGAAGAGAUCAAGAGAAGGAGCUCGAUCGGCGACACAGCCGGCCGCCGGAUGGUGGGUGGGUUUAACUAGCUAAGCACUGCUGCUUCUUCAAUAUUCAGAGUUUCAGACUCCAGUCGCGUCUGUGGUCUGCUCGCCUCGCCGCUCCGUCUGCUUGACCUCGCCGCUCCGUCUGCUUGACCUCGCCGCUCCGUCUGCUCACGGCUC